This 97-nucleotide small nucleolar RNA is filed under the name Sorghum bicolor (sorghum). Its description in RNAcentral is "Plant small nucleolar RNA R71". It matches the Rfam family "Plant small nucleolar RNA R71". Rfam says of the family: R71 is a member of the C/D box family of snoRNAs containing the C (UGAUGA) and D (CUGA) box motifs. Multiple nearly identical copies of this snoRNA have been identified in Arabidopsis, and it is thought to function as a 2'-O-ribose methylation guide for 18S ribosomal RNA. The record is from Rfam by way of RNAcentral. Lineage: Eukaryota; Viridiplantae; Streptophyta; Magnoliopsida; Poales; Poaceae.
AUUCCAUGAUGGGGACAUUCUAGGAUGUAGUCUUGAAAGCGCUCCCAACGGAUUCAUCAUUUUGUUGCUGAAAACUUGUAAUCUUCCCACGGAGUGC